This 468-nucleotide ribosomal RNA is filed under the name uncultured bacterium. RNAcentral describes it as "partial 16S ribosomal RNA". It matches the Rfam family "Bacterial small subunit ribosomal RNA", at positions 38 to 507 of the family's 1533-position model. The record is from RNAcentral.
GGGGGGGGGGGGCGGCGGGGUUGACGCAGGCGAGUCGAGCGGGGAGGCCGUGCGUGUGUGGGGUGCUCGAGUGGCGGACGGGUGCGUCACACGUGUGUACCCUGCCCUUGCCUUUGGGCUAACUUCAGGACACUGGGGCUAAUACCGGGUAGGAGCUCCUGCUGCAUGGUGGGGGUUGUAUGGUUUAGGCUGUUGGGGCUGGGAUUGGGGGUUAUCAGCUCGUUGGUGGUGUGUGGGCUUCUCAAGGCUGUGACGGGUUGCCGGCCUGAGAGGGUGACCGGCCACAUUGGGACUGAGAUACGGCCCAGACUCCUACGGGAGGCAGCAGGGGGGAAUAGUGCACAAUGGGCGGAAGCCUGAUGCAGCAACGCCGCGUGCGGGAUGACGGCCUUCGGGUUGUAAACCGCUUUCGCCUGUGACGAAGCGUGAGUGGCGGUAAUGGGUAAAGAAGCAACGGCUAACUACGUG